This is a long non-coding RNA of Salvelinus namaycush (lake trout), 178 nucleotides long. RefSeq lists it as uncharacterized. The transcript is spliced from 3 exons. The record is from RefSeq and is a predicted model, not a curated record. NCBI's taxonomy places the organism in Eukaryota, Metazoa, Chordata, Actinopteri, Salmoniformes, Salmonidae.
CAGACACACAGUGUCCAUCCUGAUCCUAACAGUGACACGUACACAGCUCUGAACAUGAAGACCAGGUCACCAGAGUAUGACACCCUGGCAAAUGUGAGGGGAAUCUCCAACUGAAGAGAACCACCACAGAACCUGGACUGAAGAGAAGCACCACAGAACCUGGACUGAAGAGAACCAC